AUUGAACGCUGGCGGCAGGCUUAACACAUGCAAGUCGAGCGGGGUGAUGGUGCUUGCACUAUCACUUAGCGGCGGACGGGUGAGUAAUGCUUAGGAAUCUGCCUAUUAGUGGGGGACAACAUCUCGAAAGGGAUGCUAAUACCGCAUACGUCCUACGGGAGAAAGCAGGGGAUCACUUGUGACCUUGCGCUAAUAGAUGAGCCUAAGUCGGAUUAGCUAGUUGGUGGGGUAAAGGCCUACCAAGGCGACGAUCUGUAGCGGGUCUGAGAGGAUGAUCCGUCACACUGGGACUGAGACACGGCCCAGACUCCUACGGGAGGCAGCAGUGGGGAAUAUUGGACAAUGGGGGGAACCCUGAUCCAGCCAUGCCGCGUGUGUGAAGAAGGCCUUAUGGUUGUAAAGCACUUUAAGCGAGGAGGAGGCUCUUUUGGUUAAUACCCAAGAUGAGUGGACGUUACUCACAGAAUAAGCACCGGCUAACUCUGUGCCAGCCGCCGCGGUAA
Molecule: ribosomal RNA, 503 nt
Filed under: uncultured bacterium
Lineage: Bacteria
Description: partial 16S ribosomal RNA
Rfam family: Bacterial small subunit ribosomal RNA
Source: RNAcentral